RNAcentral lists this ribosomal RNA (420 nucleotides) under Triticum aestivum (bread wheat). RNAcentral's name for it is "partial small subunit ribosomal RNA". The record is from RNAcentral. Lineage: Eukaryota; Viridiplantae; Streptophyta; Magnoliopsida; Poales; Poaceae.
AUGCAGUGUCAUUUGUUUCUUGUAAACUUGUCUUACCUUUCAUGCAUUUGUCUGUUUAGAUAUUGUAAUUUGAUUUUUUUGCUUCUCCGUAGAACAAAGCAGGAGGUAUGGCAUGUAAUCUAUUGGAAAUGUGUUGAUGUACUUCUUAAGAGGAAGUCUUCCAUGGCAGGUCUGAAAGUUGGGAACAGAAGCAUAAAUAUGAGAAAAUCAGCGAAAGAAAAAUUGCUACCAUUGAGGCAUCUUCUUAAUUGUAUUCUCUUACCUACUAUCAGAUCUCAAGAAAUUGUUCAGAGGAUUUUUUUAUUGGAGAAGGCCCCGGCGGCAGGGCAAAGCUCUGGGAUGGCUUCCAUGGCAAACAGACAGUCAGCUACGAUGCUACCAAGAUUAGUUUGUGGCGAAUCAGUCAUAUCCAUUAUCUGA